Molecule: small RNA, 484 nt
Filed under: Microcystis sp. NT1
Lineage: Bacteria; Bacillati; Cyanobacteriota; Cyanophyceae; Chroococcales; Microcystaceae
Description: bacterial LSU rRNA
Rfam family: Bacterial small subunit ribosomal RNA (bases 1-100)
Source: RNAcentral
CUCAACCGCAAGGAGGGGGAUGCCUAAGGCAGGGCUAGUGACUGGGGUGAAGUCGUAACAAGGUAGCCGUACCGGAAGGUGUGGCUGGAUCACCUCCUUAAAGGGAGACCUAAUUCAGGUAGGAGACGAAAAAAAAGUAGUCGCUACCAAGAAUCAAUCCCAAAAGGUCGGAGCGAGGCGAAAUUGGCUUUCAACUAGGUUCUGGGUUCACACAAGACCUGAAUCAGGAACAAGGGCUAUUAGCUCAGGUGGUUAGAGCGCACCCCUGAUAAGGGUGAGGUCCCUGGUUCGAGUCCAGGAUGGCCCACCUGCACAGGUGGCAAAAACAAGAGAAGCGAGGAAUCAGCACCUUAUCUUACUGACAUAGUAAGAGAGAAUGCUGGCUCUGAGUAAAGAGUCCAGAGGAACCUUGAAAACUGCAUAGAGCUAGGUGAAAAAGCCAAAAAAGAAGACCGCAAGGUCAAGCUAAUAAGGGCUAACGGUG